RNAcentral lists this ribosomal RNA (277 nucleotides) under uncultured bacterium. Its description in RNAcentral is "partial 16S ribosomal RNA". It matches the Rfam family "Bacterial small subunit ribosomal RNA", at positions 28 to 294 of the family's 1533-position model. The record is from RNAcentral.
GAUAAACGCUGGCGGCGUGCCUAACACAUGCAAGUCGAACGCUCUUUGGUGCCGUCAGGUGCCAGAGAGAGUGGCGGACGGGUGAGGAACACGUGGGUGACCUACCUUUCAGUGAGGAAUACCGGCGAGAAAUCGCCGACAAGACCGCAUACGCUGCCGGGAGCAGACCGGGCAGCAAAGCUGUUUCGCGAGAAGCGGCGCUGGAAGAUGGGCCUGCGGCCGAUUAGCUAGCUGGUGGGGUAAUGGCCUACCAGGGCGACGAUCGGUAGCUGGUCUG